This 72-nucleotide transfer RNA is filed under the name Camelus bactrianus (Bactrian camel). It matches the Rfam family "tRNA". Rfam says of the family: Transfer RNA (tRNA) molecules are approximately 80 nucleotides in length. Their secondary structure includes four short double-helical elements and three loops (D, anti-codon, and T loops). Further hydrogen bonds mediate the characteristic L-shaped molecular structure. tRNAs have two regions of fundamental functional importance: the anti-codon, which is responsible for specific mRNA codon recognition, and the 3' end, to which the tRNAs corresponding amino acid is attached (by aminoacyl-tRNA synthetases). tRNAs cope with the degeneracy of the genetic code in two manners: having more than one tRNA (with a specific anti-codon) for a particular amino acid; and 'wobble' base-pairing, i.e. permitting non-standard base-pairing at the 3rd anti-codon position. The record is from Rfam by way of RNAcentral. Lineage: Eukaryota; Metazoa; Chordata; Mammalia; Artiodactyla; Camelidae. RNAcentral also lists the same sequence under 2 other names.
GUGGGCAUAGCUCAGUGGUAGAGCGCGUGCUUAGCAUGCGCAAGAUCCCAGGUUCAACCCCCAGUACCUCCA